This is a long non-coding RNA of Perca fluviatilis (European perch), 362 nucleotides long. RefSeq lists it as uncharacterized. The transcript has 3 exons. The record is from RefSeq and is a predicted model, not a curated record. Lineage: Eukaryota; Metazoa; Chordata; Actinopteri; Perciformes; Percidae.
AUGUAGACAGUCACAGAGGACAGAGUAACGUGAGGAAAAUUCCACAACAGUUGUGUUGGCAACCCUGCAGCUCCAUUACCAUCCACUGAGGGGCAGUGCAGCAGUUUGCAGCCACUGUGGACCAGAGAGAGAAAAUGAAAUAAAAGUGGGGAUAAAUCAGGAAAACCGGCACACAUGAAGAAGAGUCAGACCCGUUUAUGCUGUGAUUUUCUGGACACGACCGUCCCUGACACCGGAUAGAUGAGGCUAAUCUCAGCCGCAGGCAGACUGUCAGAAAGCUUUGCUGAAGCUCUGGGUGUAAAAUGGCGCUCGGCUGCCCUGCGCUGUUUUUCUUCCUCUACCGCUCCAUUCUUUCUCUCUGU